This 1172-nucleotide ribosomal RNA is filed under the name Enterobacter cloacae. RNAcentral describes it as "bacterial SSU rRNA". It matches the Rfam family "Bacterial small subunit ribosomal RNA", at positions 48 to 1209 of the family's 1533-position model. The record is from RNAcentral. Lineage: Bacteria; Pseudomonadati; Pseudomonadota; Gammaproteobacteria; Enterobacterales; Enterobacteriaceae.
CCUACACAUGCAAGUCGAACGGUAACAGGAAGCAGCUUGCUGCUUCGCUGACGAGUGGCGGACGGGUGAGUAAUGUCUGGGAAAGUGCCUGAUGGAGGGGGAUAACUACUGGAAACGGUAGCUAAUACCGCAUAACGUCGCAAGACCAAAGAGGGGGACCUUCGGGCCUCUUGCCAUCGGAUGUGCCCAGAUGGGAUUAGCUAGUAGGUGGGGUAACGGCUCACCUAGGCGACGAUCCCUAGCUGGUCUGAGAGGAUGACCAGCCACACUGGAACUGAGACACGGUCCACACUCCUACGGGAGGCAGCAGUGGGGAAUAUUGCACAGUGGGCGCACGCCUGAUGCACCCAUGCCGCGUGUGUGAAGAAGGCCUUCGGGUUGUAAAGUACUUUCAGCGGGGAGGAAGGCGAUGAGGUUAAUAACCUUGUGGAUUGACGUUACCCGCAAAAGAAGCACCGGCUAACUCCGUGCCAGCAGCCGCGGUAAUACGGAGGGUGCAAGCGUUAAUCGGAAUUACUGGGCGUAGAGCGCACGCAGGCGGUCUGUCAAGUCAGAUGUGAAAUCCCCGGGCUCAACCUGGGAACUGCAUUCGAAACUGGCAGGCUAGAGUCUUGUAGAGGGGGGUAGAAUUCCGGGUGUAGCUGUGAAAUGCGUACAUAUCUGGAGGAAUACCGGUGGCGAACGCGGCCCCCUGGAUACACACUGACUCUCACGUGCGAAAGCGUGGGUAGCAAACGGGAUUACAUACCCUGCGGAGUACUACGCCGUAAACGAUGUCGACUUGGAGGUUGUGCCCGUAGAGGCGUGCCUCUCCAGCAGCUAACCGCGUUCAAGUCGACUGUCGUGGGGGAGUACCGCCGCAGAGGUCAAGACUCAUAUGAUUUCGACGGGGGCCGCGCCACAGCGGUGGGAUGAUGGUGGCUUUAAUUCGAUGAUACGCGAAGACUCUACCGUACUCCUGACGUCGCUAGACUUUACAUAGAUGGAUGUGUCGUCUUUCGGAACUGUGAAACAGUAGGCGUGCAUGACUGUCAUCACCUCGUGCUGGGCAAUGGUGAAGUAAGUUCCGCAAGCCAGUCGCACCUAUAUCUAUGUGCCACGCUGUCUGCGGCAUCGAAGAAAUUGCAGUUACUGGAAGGUGGAUCGGUCAGUCAAUGGCUUGACAGAUCGGU